RNAcentral lists this ribosomal RNA (1086 nucleotides) under Pseudomonas sp. 2,4-D. RNAcentral describes it as "partial 23S ribosomal RNA". It matches the Rfam family "Bacterial large subunit ribosomal RNA", at positions 1580 to 2650 of the family's 2925-position model. Lineage: Bacteria; Pseudomonadati; Pseudomonadota; Gammaproteobacteria; Pseudomonadales; Pseudomonadaceae. The record is from RNAcentral.
AGGCGACGAAGUGGUUGAUACCAUGCUUCCAAGAAAAGCUCCUAAGCUUCAGAUAACUGGGAACCGUACCCCAAACCGACACAGGUGGUUAGGUAGAGAAUACCAAGGCGCUUGAGAGAACUCGGGUGAAGGAACUAGGCAAAAUGGCACCGUAACUUCGGGAGAAGGUGCGCCGGCGAGGGUGAAGGACUUGCUCCGUAAGCCCAUGCCGGUCGAAGAUACCAGGCCGCUGCGACUGUUUAUUAAAAACACAGCACUCUGCAAACACGAAAGUGGACGUAUAGGGUGUGACGCCUGCCCGGUGCCGGAAGGUUAAUUGAUGGGGUUAGCGCAAGCGAAGCUCUUGAUCGAAGCCCCGGUAAACGGCGGCCGUAACUAUAACGGUCCUAAGGUAGCGAAAUUCCUUGUCGGGUAAGUUCCGACCUGCACGAAUGGCGUAACGAUGGCGGCGCUGUCUCCACCCGAGACUCAGUGAAAUUGAAAUCGCUGUGAAGAUGCAGUGUAUCCGCGGCUAGACGGAAAGACCCCGUGAACCUUUACUAUAGCUUUGCACUGGACUUUGAAUUUGCUUGUGUAGGAUAGGUGGGAGGCUUUGAAGUGGGGACGCCAGUUCUCAUGGAGCCAUCCUUGAAAUACCACCCUGGCAACUUUGAGGUUCUAACUCAGGUCCGUCAUCCGGAUCGAGGACAGUGUAUGGUGGGUAGUUUGACUGGGGCGGUCUCCUCCCAAAGAGUAACGGAGGAGUACGAAGGUGCGCUCAGACCGGUCGGAAAUCGGUCGUAGAGUAUAAAGGCAAAAGCGCGCUUGACUGCGAGACAAACACGUCGAGCAGGUACGAAAGUAGGUCUUAGUGAUCCGGUGGUUCUGUAUGGAAGGGCCAUCGCUCAACGGAUAAAAGGUACUCCGGGGAUAACAGGCUGAUACCGCCCAAGAGUUCAUAUCGACGGCGGUGUUUGGCACCUCGAUGUCGGCUCAUCACAUCCUGGGGCUGAAGCCGGUCCCAAGGGUAUGGCUGUUCGCCAUUUAAAGUGGUACGCGAGCUGGGUUUAGAACGUCGUGAGACAGUUCGGUCCCUAUCUGCCGUGG